GGAUAAGCCAAGCUCUUGUGUCCUGGCAGAUAAACAAGGUGAACCCUCAAUCCGUGUAGCAGGAGUUUCCAGACAAACUCACUUUGCAUGGAAGGACACUAACCCUUCCAGGUGUGUCUAAUUUUGUGGAAAGGAGAAGGUUGGGAGCUCCGGAGCUAAUAGGAUGCACAGGAGGAAGAUACGGAGCACAGUGGCUGAGACCUGACAGCUCUCUGAAGACUCCACUUCACCGCCGCCACUCCACUUCACCGCCGCCAGCCCUGGCCCACACCUUUCUUAAGAGCAACUUAAGAAAUUUGCAACUUCAAAACCAGACCAGAGGGUGAGAAGAACUAGCCAACCCAUCCUCCAAGUGUGACUGAGCGGUCAGG
Molecule: long non-coding RNA, 371 nt
Filed under: Homo sapiens (human)
Lineage: Eukaryota; Metazoa; Chordata; Mammalia; Primates; Hominidae
Description: HSALNT0066043
Source: RNAcentral